ACACAGAGCCGCAUGGUUGCUGUGUGAAAGGGUUAUCCGCUGUGGGAUGGACUCGCGGCCUAUCAAUCUUGUUGGUGAGGUAAUGACUCACCAAGGCGACGACGGGUAGCCGGCCUGAGAGGGCGACCGGCCACACUGGGACUGAGACACGGCCCAAACUCCUACGGGAGGCAUCAGUUGGGGAAUAUUUGCACAAUGGGCGAAAGCCUGAUGCAUCGACGCCGCGUGAGGGAUGAAGG
This 239-nucleotide ribosomal RNA is filed under the name uncultured bacterium. RNAcentral's name for it is "partial 16S ribosomal RNA". It matches the Rfam family "Bacterial small subunit ribosomal RNA", at positions 173 to 414 of the family's 1533-position model. The record is from RNAcentral.